GACGUAGGGAGCGAGCGUUGUCCGGAUUCAUUGGGCGUAAAGAGCUCGUAGGCGGCUCGUUGCGUCGGCUGUGAAAACCCGCAGCUCAACUGUGGGCUUGCAGCCGAUACGGGCGGGCUGGAGUUCGGUAGGGGAGACUGGAAUUCCUGGUGUAGCGGUGAAAUGCGCAGAUAUCAGGAGGAACACCGGUGGCGAAGGCGGGUCUCUGGGCCGAUACUGACGCUGAGGAGCGAAAGCGUGGGGAGCGAACAGG
RNAcentral lists this ribosomal RNA (253 nucleotides) under uncultured bacterium. RNAcentral's name for it is "partial 16S ribosomal RNA". It matches the Rfam family "Bacterial small subunit ribosomal RNA", at positions 524 to 776 of the family's 1533-position model. The record is from RNAcentral.